GAUGAACGCUGGCGGCGUGCUUAACACAUGCAAGUCGAGCGAGAAGUUUUGAAAAGAUUCUUCGGAUGAAAUUUAAAAUGGAAAGCGGCGGACGGGUGAGUAACGCGUAGGCAACCUGCCCCAUACAAAGGGAUAGCAUUUGGAAACGAAUAUUAAUACCUUAUGAAACUUACCUAGUGCAUGCUAGGUAGGUCAAAGAUUUAUCGGUAUGGGAUGGGCCUGCGUCUGAUUAGCUAGUUGGUGAGGUAACGGCUCACCAAGGCGACGAUCAGUAGCCGACCUGAGAGGGUGAACGGCCACAUUGGAACUGAGACACGGUCCAAACUCCUACGGGAGGCAGCAGUGGGGAAUAUUGCACAAUGGGGGAAACCCUGAUGCAGCAACGCCGCGUGAAAGAUGAAGGCCUUUGGGUCGUAAAGUUCUGUUCUAGGUGAUGAAAACUGACAGUAACCUAGGAGAAAGCCCCGGCUAACUCCGUG
This 479-nucleotide ribosomal RNA is filed under the name uncultured bacterium. RNAcentral's name for it is "partial 16S ribosomal RNA". It matches the Rfam family "Bacterial small subunit ribosomal RNA", at positions 28 to 507 of the family's 1533-position model. The record is from RNAcentral.